RNAcentral lists this unclassified non-coding RNA (156 nucleotides) under Montagnula scabiosae. Its description in RNAcentral is "partial internal transcribed spacer 2". The record is from RNAcentral. Lineage: Eukaryota; Fungi; Ascomycota; Dothideomycetes; Pleosporales; Didymosphaeriaceae.
ACACCCUCAAGCUCUGCUUGGUGUUGGGCGUCUGUCCCGCCUCCGCGCGUGGACUCGCCCCAAAUCCAUUGGCAGCGUCCCUUGCCCCCUCUCGCGCAGCACAUUGCGCUUCUCGAGGGCGGCUCCGGGGCGCGACCCACCGAAGAUGACCACCGU